UUUUUAGUAUAAAUAUGUUCCAUGCAAUAUUUGGAAAAUAUUUGGAACAUACUUAUACUAGAA
Molecule: microRNA precursor, 63 nt
Organism: Pan troglodytes (chimpanzee)
Lineage: Eukaryota; Metazoa; Chordata; Mammalia; Primates; Hominidae
Rfam family: mir-1302 microRNA precursor family
Source: Rfam